GACGAACGCUGGCGGCGUGCUUAACACAUGCAAGUCGUACGGUAAGGCCCUUUCGGGGGUACACGAGUGGCGAACGGGUGAGUAACACGUGAGUAACCUGCCCACAACUUUGGGAUAACGCUAGGAAACUGGUGCUAAUACUUGAUAUGUGCUCCUGCUGCAUGGUGGGGGUUGGAAAGCUCCGGCGGUUGUGGAUGGACUCGCGGCCUAUCAGCUUGUUGGUGGGGUAGUGGCCUACCAAGGCGGCGACGGGUAGCCGGCCUGAGAGGGUGACCGGCAACAUUGGGACUGGGAUACGGCCAAGACUCAGACGGGAGGCAGCAGUGGGGAAUAUUGCACAAUGGGCGCAAGCCUGAUGCAGAAACGCCGCGUGCGGGAUGACGGCCUUCGGGUUGUAAACCGAUUUCAGCAGGGACGAAGCUUUUUGUGACGGUACCUGCAGAAGAAGCACCGGCUAACUCCGUG
RNAcentral lists this ribosomal RNA (465 nucleotides) under uncultured bacterium. RNAcentral describes it as "partial 16S ribosomal RNA". It matches the Rfam family "Bacterial small subunit ribosomal RNA", at positions 28 to 507 of the family's 1533-position model. The record is from RNAcentral.